Acanthosepion pharaonis is the source of this 107-nucleotide non-coding RNA. Lineage: Eukaryota; Metazoa; Mollusca; Cephalopoda; Sepiida; Sepiidae. The record is from the annotation of a GenBank genome assembly.
CACAUGACAUUGAAACCACUGGUUCCCAUAUAAUCACUGAAGUUAAGCAAUGUCAAGCUUGGUCAGUAUCUAGAUGGGUGGCCACUUGGAAAAACCAGGUGCUGUAA